CCAAAAAAGGGAGAUAGUAGGGCAGGAGCAAGGACGUUAGCGGUCAUCACCAGCUUUCAUGCCCACCCACGGUUCUCCUCUUGCCCAUCCAGUGGGAGAUCAGUCACCUCUUAGUUAGCCAGGCUAAGGCCCACUUAGCCACUAAGUGCAGUGAAAGGCUGGGUACUAGGUAUCAUUGGCAAACUGAUGGCUCCAAGGAUGUCCAGGUCCUAGUCCCCAGAGCCUGUGAAUCUGUUACACAGCAAAAGGAUUUGCAGGUGUGAUUAAGGAUCCUGAGAUGGGCAGAUCACCCUGGAUUUUCUGAGUGGGACCGAUGCAAUCACAAGGGUCCUCAUAAGUGGAGAGAGGGACGCAGGAGGGUCAGGGAAGCAGAUGUGAGGACAGAAGCUGAGUUAGAGAUUUGAAGAUGCUCUGCUGCUGGCUUUGAAGACAGAGGAAAUGCAGCCAAGGAAUGCAGGUGGCCUCGAGAAGCUGGAAAAGACAGGAAAUGGACUCCCCUGGCAAUUCAGGCCUCAGGAGGAACCAGCCCUGCUGACACCGUGACUUUAGCCCAGUCUGGCUUCUGAUGUCCAUAACGGUCCAUAAAUGGGUGUUGUUUUAAGCUACUAGGUUUGCGGUAAUCUGUUACAGCAGCAGUAGGGAGGAAAACUCCAGGGCUCACACCCUUGAGGACAACAAUGGUACUGUACUGAGCAUUUUCUCAGCCAGGCAGUGUUCAGAUGCUUCUCUCCACCCACUAUCUGCUUCAUCCUCACAACCACCUCUGGGUAGAUACUAUUGUUCUUUCCACUUUACAGAGGAGCAACGCAGGCUUAGUGAGGCUGAGGAAUCGGCUUGAAGUCACCAAGAGUAGAACCCAGGUCACCUGAGUCCACAGCCUGAGCACAUGACGCCCAUGUCAGACUCUACAAAACCAGGACAGUGGGUGUGAAAUAAAUGGAGCAGAGGCUAUGGUACAUCUACUUCCAGAUUUAAGAUUUACCCCUGAGAUCUGAACAGAUAAAAAGGGAGGGCCAAUUCCUGGGCCAUAAGUACACCAGCUGGGAUUUGUACAGAAACAAUUGGUUGCACGUGGCAUCUGUUAACACUUAUUGAGCACCUACAGGGCCUGGCAUGUUUGGGAGAAACCAAAAAAACAACACUGGGUUAAAAAAGAAACAGAACUUCUCAGUAUGGAGUGCCUUUUUCAUCAAAGGAUUUCUUUAACUCCAACAAGAGCCUCCGACUCGCCUGGGCAGGCAGUUAUCUGGGUCAGUCAGCUCGUUAUUGGCGCUGCAGCAGGACAACCUCCUCCUCGUAUUUUUAGAGCGUGCUGCAGCCGAGCAAGAGGCAGGAGCAUGGCGCCCAGAGUCCCCAGGAGGGAGGGCUCCCCGGGGAGCCCCGGACUGAAAAUAAUGGGACUCCCCAGUCCCCGGAAUGAAAAUAAUGAAAUCACCAGGGCGCAGCGCUGCAGCAGCCUCCAAGUGCAACAAGGCGAGCCCUGGCUGCGGGGCCCUCCCAGCCCCACCCCGGCCCUGCUCAGGAGCCCCUGCUGCUGUAGGCAGGCGGGAGCUCUGACCAUGCUUGGCUGGGGUGGGCCCCAGAUGCCGAUUUCCCCAGGAGCUCCCAGGUGGCCCAGAUGCUGCUGGUCUGUUUGUACCUACAUCCAGGUGCCCAGCCUCUGAUUUUAUAGCCCUGGGGUGAAGCCUGGGCACUGGGAUUAGUUAUCUGUGCCCCAAGUGAUUCUAAUGUGAUCAGCCAGGCUGCCAGGUGAACCCCUGCUGACCUCUCCUGCCUCACUUUACCUGACUCUUUCCCACCCUCAGCAGAGUCUCCAGGCAGGCCUUCCCUUCUCCUCAGGUGCACCUGCUGUGCAGCUGACUGGGGGACUCUGGCCAGCACUUCCCAAGCUGGAAAUGCAAACGUCACCUCUUCCAAGAGGCCCUCCGUGAGCACCUCACAGCUGCCUGCCCUCCAUGGCAGCGCCCCUCUCCCACCACCCACUUCUCUCUUAGGGUGUCUAUCUUCAGGAACUGUCUUGCUUAUAAUGCAACAAAUACCUGUAGCAGAUAAUGUAAGCAUUAUUUGUUUGCCUGUUUGCUGUGGCCAGGGGCCUGGAAUAUGUGUGGGUGCAGGGAGCCGGGGGUCUGUCUUGCUCUCUGCUGUGUCUGGCUUUGAACGAACAGAGAGCAUCUCUGCCAAGUGGUCUCAAGUCGGGGGCAAAGGGAGCGUUUUCAUUUCUCACACUUCUGCAGUGUUGAGCUGGAUGGCGGGGAGCGCGUACUAGGAUGUGACAUGUACUUUUAAGUGCAGGGUGUCCCUUCCCUCCUCAGAUGCUUUCAGUGCCUACCGUCCUGCUCCCCAUCACAUGCCACACCUUCACUGUGUCCUUCGUGGCACCCUUUGGUGCUUAUUUGUGCUGUCUCCUGAGCCAGCAGCUGCCUCCAGCCCUGGUGGCCCACCCACUGCCCUCCAAUGCUCAGGACUUGAGCAGACCCUCUCUUGUGGCAGACCCGCCAUCAGCAUUCACUGCCCCACCCUCACGCUCCCCAUGCGGCUCCUUCACUCUGCCUCUGGCUCUUUCUAUCCUCCCCAGGCAUCAUCCAUGAGGGGCUAACCCUACAGAGCAGGAGCAGUGUGGCUACUGAUCUAACAGGCGCACCUGCAGUGCAGCGGGCCAAGUGGGGUGAAGGGAAGCUGCUUGAACGGAACCUGUGAGCCGCUGGCCAUUGGGUUUCCUCCCUCCAGGUCACCCCGUGUGUCCGCACAGGGAGCGCACUGGGAGCAAGAGGGGGUCCGAACCCUGGCAUGACCUCAGCUGCGAGGACCCUGGCCUUACACUCACCCUGGCUGAUGACUCCCAGAACUCAGAAGUGGCACGACAGCCUUGGCUUGGAUGUCGAUGGCCAGAUGUCCCCAACAUGUUGUGAGGAGCUCCUGAUCCACCCUCCCCACACGCUCUGCUCUGAAGGUCAAGCUCGUCCCCAUCUCGGCAAACUCCAUCCUUCCAGUUACUCUGGCCCAAGCCUCCAAGUCACGGUGACUCUUCUCUCUCAUACCGCACAUCCAAUCCAUCAGCCAACCCUGCUGUAUCCAGACUCAGCCCCCUCCCCUACUCCACCUCGCCAUCCCUGCCCAGGCCCAUCACCUCUCGCCUGGAUUACUGUGACAGCCUCCCAACUGGGCCCCUGCUUCCGCCCUCGACCCCUACAGUCUAGUCUCAACGCAGUGGCCAGAGGGACCUGUAAAAACCCUGGUGAGGUCACAGCACUGCUCCCCUCAGGGGCCUCCCGGAAGCCAGAGGAGUCUGCUCCACCUCUUUAGCCCCCAAACACACACUCCGACCCCUUUCCCCACUCGGCUCUUCCCAUUCCAGCCACACCGGCCCCCUCACUGUGCCUUAAGGAGGCCAGGCCAGGCAGGCUCGAGGCCUUGGCAGUUGCUGCCCGCUCUGCUGGGACCCUUCUCCUCAGACGCCCGCACAGCUCGCUCCCUCACUGCCACCUCCACAUCCUCAGCAGACAGCAUCUCAGGGAGGCCCUCUUGGACCCCCUUUAAAACUGAGGCCCCUUUACAUGCCCUCUCCCUGUGUUUUCCUCCAUCACGUGUUCACCAUCCAACACCCCACACGUUUCUCCCUCCUUCCCAGGGAGGGUCCAUCCAUGUAGUAACAGUUUUAUUGAUAUAUAAAUUACAAACCUUACAGUUCACCUAUUUAAAGUAUACAGUUGAAUGGUUUACGCGUAUUUACAGUUGUGCAACCAUCACCAUAAUCUAAAUUUGGAACAUUUUCAUCACAAUUGCCAGUUACUCCCCAUUCCGCUCUUCCCCCACCCCCUUUGGGGGAAGGCGAACACCAGUCUCCUUUCCGUCUCUGUAGAUCUGCCCAUUCUGGACACUUCAUAUAAAUGGAGUCGAACAAUAUGUGGCCUUUUGUGAUUGGCUUCUGCUACAGACCGAAUGUUUGUGACCUCCCCCAAAUUUCUAUGUUGAAACCUAAUCCCCAACGUGACAGUAUUUGGAAGUGGGAGGUGACUAGGUCAUGAGGGUGGAGCCCUCAUGAAUGGGAUUAGGACCCUUCUAAAAGAGACUCUGGAGAGCUGAGAGAGCCCCCUCGCCCCUCCCACCAUGGGAGCACACAGCGAGAAGACGGCCAGCUAUGCUUGGAAGCGGGCCCUGGCCCGACACCGAAUCUGCCGGUGAUCUUGGACUUCCAGUCUCCAGAACUGUGAGAAAUAAGCAUCUGUUGUUUAAGCCCCCGAUUCUGUGGUCUUUUUGUGAUAGCAACCCGAGCAGACUGAGGCAGUUUUCACUUAGCAUCAUGUUUUCAAGGCUCGUCCACGCUGCAGUAGGUAUUAGAACUUCACUCCUUUUUAUGAAGCAGAAUUUGAUCUACUGAAAUACAGAGUACAAAUUUAAAAUUUCAAAUUUACUUUGCAGGGCAAGCUGGGAGCCACAGCACACUUCACACCCUCCAAGGAAUGUCUGCUCUGUCUGGGAGCUGCCGUCCCUGGUAAGCCCUGGGGCGGCAUCUCAGCCCGGUUUCCUGCAGGACUGGCAGGGCUGGGCUCUGGACCCACCAACCAGAACGCCGAGCCUGCAGUUCAAGUCUGGAGAAGAUAAACCGCGGAUGCUGCAUGUAUGCGAUAGGUAAGGCCAUGAAAGCAGACCAUCCUAUUGUCCCCAAGGAACUAAGGCUCAGUGAAGGGCCACAUUCCGGGCACGGCAAGGAGGGAGCAGAAUGCAACCUUGGACUAAAACUUGCCCAGACUCACCCUUGACUUUUAAUCAGACACAACAGCUACUCAUUUGCCCCUCCUCCCCAAAAAAUCUGUACAAAACUCAGAUGUAUUAGUUAAGAUCUUGCCUUUAUCUCCAAAUUGGAAAAGAAUCUCUUUUGCUCCCAAACUGUAGUUGGGACUGAGAAACAAAAACAAACCAAGAGCCCCAGAAGCUCUGGUCCUGGCAUUAAUCUCAGCUCCAUAAAGGCUGCUCCCGUGUCUGGGAAUUGAGCCUUAAGGCCCUGGGGGUGGUGGGGUGGGGACGAACGUAUUUCGUAUUUCGACACUGCCUUUAGCUUUGACUUCUGGGUGUUAUUUCAGACUUAUGAAAACAAAUACUUAAGAAAAAGGGAGGGGCUAUUGAAAUCCAGAGGCUGAAUUCUGAUAGACAGGAAAGUGUCCCCUUUUUUGAAAGGUGUUAGGGAAACCCCUGUGUCCCCAGGAGAGGGGAUUUUGAGCCAGGCGCUGGGAUUAGCACUUUAAAGGCAUCAUUUCACAAAAACCCUCACAACCCUGUGACAUGGGCACCUCUGUCGUUCCCACUUUGACAGACGGGAGACUGAGAUUCCAGGGGAAGUGACGAGCUGGCUGGCAGCGCCUGGACUGGCUAAUGCACUGGUCACCAGCAGGCCACACAGCCUCCGUAAUCAUCAGCAGACUCCCCUUCAUGUCCUGUAAGAGCUGAACAUUCCUAAAGGAAGCCACCUUUCCAGAACUUCAAGGCUCUGGAGGGGAGAAGGAAAACGCUCACCAGUCUCCCUCUGGUUGGCUGGCACAUGUGCCCUCCCCUUUCCUCCAAGCCUCUGAGGGUCUCUGCCACCCCCCAGCCAGGAUGGCUGCUCAGAGCGCAGGUUCUUCCUGAUAAACAAGGCCCCACCCGCCUUCUGGCUGCUGAGGAAGUGCCGAAGAUGGGAGGGCUGCCAGCUGCCAGCGCUGACAGCACCACUAAUCUACAUGCCACAGUUCCAAGUGCCACCAACAUCUGAAGAGGCUGGUGACGGGAGAGGCCCCCUCAUUUCCCACCCGUGACACUUGGUCCAACCAAACUUAACCACGCCCCAUCUGUCCAUUCACCAGGACUGAGCGUAGCUCUCUCUGUUAAGGGCCCUUUUCUUUACAACCUCUCUUUUGGCAAAAGGCCUUUUGGCCAAAAAAGAAAAAUAAAAAGGCAGCCAGACUUCCAGCUACAGAAAAGUCAGCAUCUACUGCAAGACAACGAGCGGGACAAAAUCUUCAGACACAAAGGCAAUUUCCGGUUAGCCAGCACUGCAGUUAGUUUUUAACUUGCUAGAGUUAGAAUCUUACUUGGACAACUUUAUUUCCUUUAACUUGGUAAAAGGAAAUAUCUUUAAGCAUCGUGAGCUAUGCAUUUUUCUUCCUAACCCUGGAGGGGACUAAAGAAGCUAAAAUAAAGGAGUUUACGGGGGGGUGACUUGCAAGGAACGGAAACUUUUCAGACAUUCCCUUCUUCAUGAAAUACCACCUAAAGCGCCUGUGCACUGCCCAGGAUGCAGAGAAUAUUACACAUCCCCUGGUAUCUGUGCUUGGAUAAAGUGCUUUCAUAUACUUGUGUGCACGCAUGCAUGUGUGUACGUGUGUGUGUAUGAUGCCCCCCUAAAUAUUUAUUAAAGUACAAAAGGCUGAAAUAGAAGGGGCAGGAAGGUUUGAGGAAUGAGCCAAAGAUCUCGUUCACAAGUGCUCACACUGUUUGGAGUGAUGUCUGUCUUCAUUCGAUAAAUAAGAUUAAUGAUAAACACCAGAUUGUGUUUACUUUGUACCAGGCACUAUUGUGAAUAUUUUGAAAACAUUAAUUUAUAUAAUCCUCACAACGACCCUGUGAGAUAGGCACUACUGUCAUCCCCACUUGACAGAAGAGGAUCCUGGAAGCCCAGAGAGGUUGAGCAACUUACAGAGGAUCACACAGGGAUUACCUGUCAGAGCUGGGACCCAAACCCGCUGAGCUAUGUUCCCCACUUAUUCACGAGUGUUUGCUCUGUUUUACACACUGCUCUAAGCAUGAGGACAGCGCAAUGAAGGAAACAGACAAACCCCACCCGCAGGGAGCCUAUGGUCCAGUGCGAGGGGAGGGAGAAUAACAGAAAAGGCAAGUAUCAGGGCUGCUAGAGGCGACAAGUGCAUAAGAAGACACAAAGGAGGGGACGCAGACAGGUAGGACUGCGGGGAGGGACGCUGCCGGUUUACAGGUCACCAGGGAAGGGCUCUCUGGAAAGGCAGCAUGUGAGUGAGAACUGAUGGAGACGAGGAGGACCCAGGGGCUCAGGCAGAGCAAGUCACGUGCCUAAGAUUUCCCUCCCCGAAGUGGUGAGUGUAGGCAGGCUGGGCUGCUCUGCCGGGUGACGUGACAUUGUGUCAGGUUAAGUGGAAAAGGGUUUCUCCUGCGGCUCUACCAUCUCCCUCCCCGUUAGAGCAGAGACUCCCUGCUGAAGGCAGAGAUGGGGGGUCUCUCUCGGGCACUUGAGUAAAUGCCUGGCACAUUUGGAGACCCUAGCUGGGCACUGCACUCCCUCCUCCCAGUGACCAAAAACAGGAUGGCUGUGGGUAGCCAGGAACAGCCAAGCCGGCAGGGGAGGCCUCCCUCCACCUUCUCCCAGGCCCUGCUGGGGAAGUCUUUUCUCAAGGAGAUGAGUUUUUUGGUCUUAACUUCCUGUUUGGUUCUGAUCCCACAUGGAUCCUGCCCAUCUGCCAGAGAGCAGGAGAAACAAGCAGAGCUCGUGGGGCCCUGUGAUUUUAUACACUUAGUGUGAUGAUAAUAACAAAGUUAACAUUAAUGUAGGAUGAACCAGAUGCAAGGUACGCACAUUACCUCGUUUUACACUCACACCCUAAGAAAUGUGAAUUACCAACAUCCCAUUUUACAGAUGAGGAAACCGAGACACAGAGAAGUAAGGGAAUUUGCUCAAGGCCACAGAACUAGCGAGUAGAGACCGGAAUAUGGGGAGUCUGAAACCACAUUCAUCACCAUUGUAUACACAUCUCUCUCUCUCUCAUUCACACACACACACACACAAACUGGCCAGGGGACAAGGCUGAUGAGGCUGAUGGAUAGACAAGCAAGUCAGGAGACCAUCCCAGAAUGCCGAGUGCAGAGCGGAUCCACACCCAUGGGGCUGGGGGCGGGGGGCCCAAUGGAGGCACCCAAGGUAUCACUGGUGGUCAGGGAAGGCCUCCUGGAGGAAGGGGCAGCUGGGCUGAGCCAUGAAGAAUCAUCAGGAGGCAGCUGGGUGUGUGUGCAGGGUGCCAGACCCACGAGGAUCCUCAGACUGGGCUCAGGAUUAGAGACAAGAUCUACAGGCUGCCCGUCAGAUAAGGGAGCAGAAGGCAGGGAUGGAAGAUUCUCCGUCUGUUCGGGAGGCACAUGGUAAGGGCUUGCGUCAAAUCCCCAUGGAAGGUUCAGGAAGUGCUGGCUCCUCUGGCACUGUGCUCAGGCCUGCAUCAGCUCAUGGAAUUGUCCCCCAAACUCUUGUUGGGAAGGAGCUAUUUUUAGCCCUCUGAAAGGUCAGCAAAUAGGCUCAGAGACCUUCAGCACCUGGGGUGAGGUCACACCGCUGGUGAGUGAGGGGCCAGCAUCUGGGCAGGCAAAAGGGCUGCGGGCUGCAGGCUGCCAAGCUUGAGGCACUCGGGCAGGAGGCUGGCUUCUGCGUGUCCCAACUUGUUAGGCCUGCGUCUCCAGACUCCACUACUUACUACUGUUUUUCUUUGAAGAAACCCACUUUAAAAAAAACAACUAUCAUACAUUUUUUUAAAUAAAGGAAAGCCUGUAAUAGCAUUCUGAAUGGGAACCAGUUUUCCCUUACCAUACAUAGAAGGCGCCUGAAAUGAUAAACGCAGAAUGAAACAACACGGUGCGUUUCUGGCCUGAGUCCUGCCUGAAGUCCGCCAGGGAGGCCUGCUCUUUGGUUAGAUAAAAAGGGAGGAGCAGCAGGUGCUGGGAGGUGUUAAAGACAGCGCCCACUGGAGCCUUUCUUCCUGGCAAAGUGAGGAGGCUCAACAUGACUUCAAAAGGGAACAGCUCUGACGGCCAGAUGAAACUGAAACUCAAGGAAAUGGAGAACAACUUAUCCUUGUACACUUCUCGUGCCUGACCCCUCGUAGCAUUUUUUGGUUGAAACUAAAAGGAUCCAAAUUGU
Long non-coding RNA from Equus quagga, 8908 nucleotides. RefSeq lists it as uncharacterized. The record is from RefSeq and is a predicted model, not a curated record. The transcript has 2 exons. Lineage: Eukaryota; Metazoa; Chordata; Mammalia; Perissodactyla; Equidae.